AUUGAACGCUGGCGGCAUGCUUUACACAUGCAAGUCGAACGGUAACAGGCCGCAAGGUGCUGACGAGUGGCGAACGGGUGAGUAAUGCAUCGGAACGUGCCCAGUCGUGGGGGAUAACUACUCGAAAGAGUAGCUAAUACCGCAUACGAUCUAUGGAUGAAAGCGGGGGACCGUAAGGCCUCGCGCGAUUGGAGCGGCCGAUGUCAGAUUAGGUAGUUGGUGGGGUAAAGGCUCACCAAGCCAACGAUCUGUAGCUGGUCUGAGAGGACGACCAGCCACACUGGGACUGAGACACGGCCCAGACUCCUACGGGAGGCAGCAGUGGGGAAUUUUGGGCAAUGGGCGCAAGCCUGAUCCAGCAAUGCCGCGUGCAGGAAGAAGGCCUUCGGGUUGUAAACUGCUUUUGUACGGAAAGAAACGGCUCUGGUUAAUACCCGGGGCUAAUGACGGUACCGUAAGAAUAAGCACCGGCUAACUACGUG
Molecule: ribosomal RNA, 482 nt
Filed under: uncultured bacterium
Lineage: Bacteria
Description: partial 16S ribosomal RNA
Rfam family: Bacterial small subunit ribosomal RNA
Source: RNAcentral